AUGGUUCAAAUUACAAAAGCAAGUCUAGUCGAAAUGUUGAAUUACAUAUCAAACCUAGUUAGAUCCUCCUUAACUAUUUUCUUCCCCUCUCUUAUAAGGACGCGUGGUGGAGAAAAAAAGUCAAAGCUCAGCAAAGGAGGUGGUGGACAAAUUAAUAAGAAAGGACCAAAGGAGACAAAGAGUUUGGAAAACAACUCCAAAAAUUCAGAGGCAGAAUGA
Molecule: non-coding RNA, 219 nt
Organism: Vicia faba (fava bean)
Lineage: Eukaryota; Viridiplantae; Streptophyta; Magnoliopsida; Fabales; Fabaceae
Source: the annotation of a GenBank genome assembly